GACGAACGCUGGCGGCGUGCUUAACACACGCAAGUCGAACGGAAAGGCCUGCUUUCCCUUGUGGAUUGCGGGUACUCGAGUGGCGAACGGGUGAGUAACACGUGAGUGAUCUGCCCCCAACUUGGGUAUAAGCCUGGGAAACUGGGUCUAAUUCCCGAUAGGACUGCAGGGUGGUGCCUGUGGUGGAAAACGAUUUUCUAGUGGUUGGGGAUGAGCUCGCGGCCUAUCAGCUUGUUGGUGGGGUAAUGGCCUACCAAGGCGGCGACAGGUAGCCGGCCUGAGAGGGUGGACGGCCACAUUGGGACUGAGAUACGGCCCAGACUCCUACGGGAGGCAGCAGUGGGGAAUAUUGCACAAUGGGCGGAAGCCUGAUGCAGCGACGCCGCGUGGGGGAUGACGGCCUUCGGGUUGUAAACUCCUUUCGACCGCGAGGAAGCCACCUGGUUGGAAGGGUGGUGACGGUAGUGGUAGAAGAAGCACCGGCUAACUACGUG
RNAcentral lists this ribosomal RNA (494 nucleotides) under uncultured bacterium. RNAcentral's name for it is "partial 16S ribosomal RNA". It matches the Rfam family "Bacterial small subunit ribosomal RNA", at positions 28 to 507 of the family's 1533-position model. The record is from RNAcentral.